RNAcentral lists this ribosomal RNA (524 nucleotides) under uncultured bacterium. RNAcentral's name for it is "partial 16S ribosomal RNA". It matches the Rfam family "Bacterial small subunit ribosomal RNA", at positions 28 to 523 of the family's 1533-position model. The record is from RNAcentral.
GACGAACGCUGGCGGCGUGCCUAAUACAUGCAAGUCGAGCGCAGGAAACUGACGGAACUCUUCGGAGGGAAGGCAGUGGAAUGAGCGGCGGACGGGUGAGUAACACGUAAGGAACCUGCCUCAAGGAUUGGGAUAACUCCGAGAAAUCGGAGCUAAUACCGGAUAGUUCAACGGACCGCAUGGUCCGCUGAUGAAAGGCGCUCCGGCGUCACCUUGAGAUGGCCUUGCGGUGCAUUAGCUAGUUGGUGGGGUAACGGCCCACCAAGGCGACGGGGGAGAGCAGACCUGGGAGGGUGAUCGGCCACACUGGGACGGAGAAACGGCCCAGACUCCUACGGGAGGAAGCAGUAGGGAAGCGUCCACAAUGGACGAAAGUCUGAUGGAGCAACGCCGCGUGAGUGAUGAAGGUUUUCGGAUCGUAAAACUCUGUUGUAAGGGAAGAACACGUACGAGAGGAAAUGCUCGUACCUUGACGGUACCUUACGAGAAAGCCACGGCCAACUACGUGCCAGCCGCCGCAGUAA